AGUGAACGCUGGCGGCGGGCCUAACACAUGCAAGUCGAACGGAAGCACAGUAAGAGUUUGCUUUUAAGGGUGGCGAGGGGCGGGCGGGUGAGGCGUACAUCGGCAUCUUCUUUUUCGGGGGGGAUAACGGAGGGAAGGAUCUGCUAAUAGCGAAUACGUCCUACGGGUGGGAGCAGGGGAUAUUUGGAGCUUUUGCGUCUUACUGAGCCGAUGUCGAGUUAGUUAGUUGGUUGGGUAAAGGACCACCAUGGCGACGAUACGUAGCCGGCCUGAGAGGAUGAGCAGCCACACUGGAACUGAGACACGGUCCAGACUCCUACGGGAGGCAGCAGUAGGGAAUCUUCGGCAAUGGGCGAAAGCCUGAUCCAGCCAUGCCGCGUGGGUGAAGAAGGCCUUCGGGUUGUAAAGCCCUUUUGUUGGGGAAGAAAAGCUGUAUGAUAAAACGCCGCUAUUCUGACGGUACCCAAACAAAAAGCACCGGCUAACUACGUG
RNAcentral lists this ribosomal RNA (492 nucleotides) under uncultured bacterium. Its description in RNAcentral is "partial 16S ribosomal RNA". It matches the Rfam family "Bacterial small subunit ribosomal RNA", at positions 29 to 507 of the family's 1533-position model. The record is from RNAcentral.